Long non-coding RNA from Boleophthalmus pectinirostris (great blue-spotted mudskipper), 529 nucleotides. RefSeq lists it as uncharacterized. The transcript is spliced from 3 exons. The record is from RefSeq and is a predicted model, not a curated record. Lineage: Eukaryota; Metazoa; Chordata; Actinopteri; Gobiiformes; Gobiidae.
GAGGAGAGGAAUCGAGGAGAAGGAAGCGAGGAAAGAGAAUUAAGAAGUAAACAUGAAAAAGGUUCAGGACUCGAGGAAAGGAACCAAGGAGAAGGAAGCGAGGAAAGAGAAAUGAGACGCGGCCCUGAUGUUACGACACCGUGGUUCAAAGUGUGACCCUCCCACCGCGCUGUGCCAAGAUCCUUUCGUUCAGUGUAUGCGGAUCAUGAGCCAGGGGAAGUGCCCGGUCCGCUGCAUGCCGAAGAUACUGAUGAAGAAGCCGAGGCCCGUGGUGACGAACAGGAUGGCGGUCGCUACGUUGUUCAGGUGAUCCAUCCUUUUCUGCAGAGUGGAGUUGUUCAGAUCGCGCCGACCUGCCGCAAAUACAAACUCUGCUAAAUCACAAUCAGUGUCGGGGAGGAACAGAUUACAUGUACUUACUGGAGUUAUGUAAUCAGAGUACAAUUUAUGAGUAAUUGUAUUCGGUUACAGUUACUGUUUCAGUGAGUGGUAAUUGGAUUACAGUUACUUUGUUGAAAUAAAUGGAUUA